This 1530-nucleotide ribosomal RNA is filed under the name Escherichia coli O104:H4 str. 09-7901. Its description in RNAcentral is "bacterial SSU rRNA". It matches the Rfam family "Bacterial small subunit ribosomal RNA". The record is from RNAcentral. Lineage: Bacteria; Pseudomonadati; Pseudomonadota; Gammaproteobacteria; Enterobacterales; Enterobacteriaceae.
AGAGUUUGAUCAUGGCUCAGAUUGAACGCUGGCGGCAGGCCUAACACAUGCAAGUCGAACGGUAACAGGAAGCAGCUUGCUGUUUCGCUGACGAGUGGCGGACGGGUGAGUAAUGUCUGGGAAACUGCCUGAUGGAGGGGGAUAACUACUGGAAACGGUAGCUAAUACCGCAUAAUGUCGCAAGACCAAAGAGGGGGACCUUCGGGCCUCUUGCCAUCGGAUGUGCCCAGAUGGGAUUAGCUUGUUGGUGGGGUAACGGCUCACCAAGGCGACGAUCCCUAGCUGGUCUGAGAGGAUGACCAGCCACACUGGAACUGAGACACGGUCCAGACUCCUACGGGAGGCAGCAGUGGGGAAUAUUGCACAAUGGGCGCAAGCCUGAUGCAGCCAUGCCGCGUGUAUGAAGAAGGCCUUCGGGUUGUAAAGUACUUUCAGCGGGGAGGAAGGGAGUAAAGUUAAUACCUUUACUCAUUGACGUUACCCGCAGAAGAAGCACCGGCUAACUCCGUGCCAGCAGCCGCGGUAAUACGGAGGGUGCAAGCGUUAAUCGGAAUUACUGGGCGUAAAGCGCACGCAGGCGGUUUGUUAAGUCAGAUGUGAAAUCCCCGGGCUCAACCUGGGAACUGCAUCUGAUACUGGCAAGCUUGAGUCUCGUAGAGGGGGGUAGAAUUCCAGGUGUAGCGGUGAAAUGCGUAGAGAUCUGGAGGAAUACCGGUGGCGAAGGCGGCCCCCUGGACGAAGACUGACGCUCAGGUGCGAAAGCGUGGGGAGCAAACAGGAUUAGAUACCCUGGUAGUCCACGCCGUAAACGAUGUCGACUUGGAGGUUGUGCCCUUGAGGCGUGGCUUCCGGAGCUAACGCGUUAAGUCGACCGCCUGGGGAGUACGGCCGCAAGGUUAAAACUCAAAUGAAUUGACGGGGGCCCGCACAAGCGGUGGAGCAUGUGGUUUAAUUCGAUGCAACGCGAAGAACCUUACCUGGUCUUGACAUCCACGGAAGUUUUCAGAGAUGAGAAUGUGCCUUCGGGAACCGUGAGACAGGUGCUGCAUGGCUGUCGUCAGCUCGUGUUGUGAAAUGUUGGGUUAAGUCCCGCAACGAGCGCAACCCUUAUCCUUUGUUGCCAGCGGUCCGGCCGGGAACUCAAAGGAGACUGCCAGUGAUAAACUGGAGGAAGGUGGGGAUGACGUCAAGUCAUCAUGGCCCUUACGACCAGGGCUACACACGUGCUACAAUGGCGCAUACAAAGAGAAGCGACCUCGCGAGAGCAAGCGGACCUCAUAAAGUGCGUCGUAGUCCGGAUUGGAGUCUGCAACUCGACUCCAUGAAGUCGGAAUCGCUAGUAAUCGUGGAUCAGAAUGCCACGGUGAAUACGUUCCCGGGCCUUGUACACACCGCCCGUCACACCAUGGGAGUGGGUUGCAAAAGAAGUAGGUAGCUUAACCUUCGGGAGGGCGCUUACCACUUUGUGAUUCAUGACUGGGGUGAAGUCGUAACAAGGUAACCGUAGGGGAACCUGCGGUUGGAUCACCU